UUCCUCUACUUCCACAGGGACAUCUGAUAACUUCCUUUUCUUCAAUGGUGGCUCUGGUCCUGGGACUGUAUGUUCUGGGAGACCUAGGUAUUUUGACAGCUCCUUACUCAGCUCUUCAGUAAUAUAUUCUGAUAUUAACCCGUGGGCAUACCGCACGUAGUCUUCUUCAGCAUCGGUGAUUUGUUUACCGCUGACAAAUGUAGCUGAAUAUAUCCUUUCGCCUACACAUAUAUUGUUGCUUUUAAGUGCUUUCACUGUUUGAUUGACCUUUUUUUUUAACCACUUCAGUGUCUUCUCUUGGCUGUACUUGUGAAAUUUCUGACUGCCUAUUUCUUUUUCUUCUGUUAUAUGACGUACAGAUCGUUUAACACCUUCACACUUCAGUAGCAAUGGGCAAUAAGGGUACUCUGAGUCUAGCACAACUUGAUCCAGUGGCUGGAACUUUCCUUGCUGCUCUUUGUCUGCCUUUAUGAGAUAAUAAAGUAUCAGAAAUAAGGGGUCCAUCGGUGUAACAAAGAGCAGGCGUCCAUCUUGUUGAACAGUCUCACCUAUAAACCAGGAACGAUGUUCCUCAUGAAAAGCUUUUACUUCAAACAGCUGCUGUGCACCACUAUUGAAUAAGUAAAGAGUUGCUUCCCCUGUGCUUGGAUUGCGUAGUUUUGUAAACAUAGGUUCGCUGUCAGGUGUCUUAGGGGGGUCAGUAGCAGCCUCUGGUGCAAUGAGCACCCACUGGUCAGGGUGCGCGCCCGCGGGCCGCUGCUCCGCGCCGUGCAUGCUCCUCCGCCCCUGCCGGCCGCUCCCGCUGCCGCUCCCGCCGCCUCCACAACAUGGCGGCGGGGCGGGGCCGGGGCAGACCGAGGAGCGGCGGGAAAAGGCAACACGCGCCCCUCCACACGCGGUGCCAUACGGCUCCGCGCGCGGCUUCAGGGCGGCUCCACCCCGCGGGACGCAGAGGGGGGCGCGGGGAGCUGAGGUAGCUGCAUCACCCUCUCUCUCCCUCCCCUCCUGCUUGAGAAGAAUGGUACGAGCCGCUGCAGGCAGGGCGGACGGCGGCAGAGCGGCUCCGUCUCGUCACCCCGUGCGGCUUUUGGUCUUGGGGUGCGUUCUCAGCGCCUAGGCUGUGUCAGGCAUUGGCGUCCUUCUCUUACCGUUGCCCCAUCGCACGUUUUGCUUGUGGAGGGCGGUCGUGACUGCCCCGUGCCUGCUGCUGCCUGUCUGCUGAAGGCUUUGUCUUAAAGAGCCGCAGCUCCUCAGUAAGUGAUGGACGGGACGGGAACAGCUAACGUGUGAGGAGAGAGCCUGGAGAAGGGAAGGCUUAUGAGGGGAGCAAGGAAGGUUGCAUGAGGCACUUCUCGGUGGUACCUGCUGGCACCACUGGUGGCAACAGGCACGGGCUGAAAUACUGGAAAUUACAUUUAAACGUAAGAGAAAUAAACUUAUUUUAGGGCUCUAGGUUGUUGAGUGCUGGAACAGGCUGUCCUGAGAGGCUGUGGAUUCUCUCUUUGUGGAGAUUACAGAAUCAUAGAACCAUUAAGGUUGGAAAAGACCACCGAGAGCAUCCAGUCUGACCAUCAGCCCACCCCACCAUGCCCACUAACCAUGUCACUCAGUGCCACGUCUUGAACACCUCCAGAGAUGGUGACUCCAUCACCUCCCUGAGCAGCCUGUGCCACUGCAUCAUCACUUCUUCAUUCAACAGAAGAAAUGUUUCCUAAUAUCCAACCUGAACUUCUCCUGCUGCAACAUAAGGCUAUUACCUCUCAUCCUAUAAGUGUUACCUGUGAGAAGAGGCCAACCCCUGCCUCACCACAGCCUCCUGUCAGGUUGUUGUGGAGACCAAUAAGGUCUUCCCUGAGCAUCCUCCAGACCAAACAAUCCCAGUUUCCUCAGUUGCUCUCCAUAAGAUUUGUGCUCCAGACCUUCACAGCUUUGUUGCCCUUCUCUGGAUGUGCUCCAGGGCCUCAAUGUCCUUCUUGUAAUGAGUAGCCCAAAACUGAACACAAUACUCAAGGUGCAGCCUCACGGGGGCUGAGUACAGAGGGAUGAUGACCUCCCUGCUCCUGCUGGCUGCACUAUCCCUGACAGAAGACAGGAUGCUUUCUUGGCCACCUGGGCACACACUGCUGGCUCAUGUUCUGCCAGCUUUCAACUAACAUGUGUUAAAGCCCAGACUGGACACGGCCCCGAUCAAGCUGCUGUCAUUGGCCCAACUGUGAGCUGGAGUAGUGUGUCUCCAGAGGUGCAUAAUAUCCUGAUAAAUGUGUCCUGCACCUACUGAUAGUCCCAAGGAGGCAUAGUCAAGAACCAUGGAUAUGCAUACGCGUGCACGUGUACAUUAACUUAUGGUUACCAGCACAAGAACGGGCUGAUGGCCACUGUCCCAGAGAUUUAGAAGACAAACAUUAUAUGUUAUCAGAAGUAUUAAAGUAUACAUAUAAAUUGCAAAUCUCAAAGAUAUGAAACAAAUAUUAAAAACAUACUGACGUUUAUGCCCUCAAACAUAACAGAGCAAACCAAGGCCAACAUAUGCAAAACAGCUGAGUUGAUGUAAGGCUGAAAAAAAUAAUUUCCUGAAGUCAGAGCAUAUACAUUCAUAACUCUGAGAUUACAUUAAUCUAAAUUUGUUUUAUUUUAAUUUUCCUGUUUUUUUUUUUCCCUGCCUGAAGUGAGGCAGGAUAUAAAUGCC
RNAcentral lists this long non-coding RNA (2686 nucleotides) under Gallus gallus (chicken). Lineage: Eukaryota; Metazoa; Chordata; Aves; Galliformes; Phasianidae. The record is from RNAcentral.